This 254-nucleotide ribosomal RNA is filed under the name uncultured prokaryote. Its description in RNAcentral is "partial 16S ribosomal RNA". It matches the Rfam family "Bacterial small subunit ribosomal RNA", at positions 525 to 777 of the family's 1533-position model. The record is from RNAcentral.
ACGGGGGGAGCAAGCGUUGUUCGGAUUUACUGGGCGUAAAGGGCGCGUAGGCGGCCACCGCAAGUCAGUUGUGAAAUCUCUGGGCUUAACCCAGAAAGGUCAACUGAUACUGCGGGGCUAGAGUGCAGAAGGGGCAACUGGAAUUCUCGGUGUAGCGGUGAAAUGCGUAGAUAUUGGGAGGAACACCAAUGGCGAAGGCAGCUCGCUGGGACGUUACUGACGCUGAGACGCGAAAGCGUGGGGAGCAAACAGGA